This is a long non-coding RNA of Nyctereutes procyonoides (raccoon dog), 1778 nucleotides long. RefSeq lists it as uncharacterized. The record is from RefSeq and is a predicted model, not a curated record. Lineage: Eukaryota; Metazoa; Chordata; Mammalia; Carnivora; Canidae. The transcript has 3 exons.
UUUUCAGAGAGAAAACUGAGGCUAUCAGAUAAGUACUUGAAAACUCUCCUUCAGAACCACAAAUUACAACAUCUACAUCUAAAUCCAGCGUACCUCCUGGGAUCCUGUGCCGGACCGAUAGACAUCUUUCUCCUUUCCAGGGGUUUAACUCCUCCACACUCCCAGCCUGCCUCAACCCCUGCAGCAGCUGCUCAGGAAGUCAGAUCUCACACCUGCAGCUCAGUCUUCAUCUGAGUCCAGAAGUUCAGGAGACAGGUGAAGGCAAGAGAAUCUGAGAACGCAUCCAGCCAUUGUUUAAAGAGGGAGGCAACAGCCAAGAAGAGCCACGUGAGGCCUGUCUUAGCCUUCCAAUCCUUCAUUAGGGAGCAAGGAAAGAAGAACUUUGCCAAGAGCAAACCUGAAACAUUCCUUUGGGUUUGGUUCAAAGACUGCAAGUCCAUGCUUCCACACAAACGUGUUCCUAGGACUGAAGACUUAAGGCACUGUUCAAAGGAUCUCUUGGGCAUGAGGAGAUGAGAAUAGCCACCACCACCACUGGCCCGGCUCUGAGAUGUGUGUGAAGGGAAUCCAUUCGUAGGAGGCUCUUUUACAUGAUUACCUUCCAAAGCUGAUAUAUACCCUCUCUGAGAAUAUCAAUUCUUCCUAAUUAUAAGCACACACUACUACAGAUCAACAAUAUUACAGUUCAAAGAAACCUGAGAUAUGCAUUAGGUGUGUCUCAAUUAUCUCAUUUUAAAAUAAAAGAAAACAGACUCAGGGAGGGCAGGGACUUGCUCAAGGUCAAACUGCUGAUCAGUGUUUCAUGAAGAAGCCAGGACUUGUGAUUCCAAGUUCAGAGCUUUGGAGUCAGUGCUUCAUGCCCUGACCUCAUAAGAUGCUAAGUGCCUAAUACAGACAAGAUUCAUUUUCUUUUCUUUUUUUUUCCUCUCUCUCGGCUUUUGUUUUGUUUUGGGUUUGAUUUUGGUUUCGGGGUUUUGUUUUGUUUUUACCAUCACAAAAGUUUGGUUUUGUUUAAGAUCGUAGAUACAAAGAACAGAUUAGUGAUUGCCACAGGCUGGGCAUGGGAGGCAGGGGGUGGUGUGUGUGAGUGAAAUGGGUAAAGUGAUAACUGAUAUAAAUGUACAGUAAUAAAAGUAAGUCAUGGGGAUGUAAUAUAUAGCAUGGUCACCAUAAUAAUGGACUGUAUUUUUUUUCAUUUUUUAAAAUUUAAAUUCAAUUAAUUAACAUAUAGAUUAUUAUUAGUUUCAGAGAUUCAGAGUGCAAUGAUUCAUCAGUCUUAUGUUAACAUCCAGUGCCCAUUACAUCAUGGGCCUUCCUUAAUGCCCAUCAACCUGUUACCUCAUCCUUCCUACCCCUCUACCCUCCAGCAAAAUUCAUUUUCAUGUUUAGCCUUCCUGGCUUAUUCUGGACCAAUCCUUUUUAAAACUUUUCUUUAGGGACACCUGGGUGGCUCAGUGGUUGAGCAUCUGGCUUUGGCUCAGGGUGUGAUCCCAGGAUCCAAGAUUGAGGUCCUCAUCGGGCCCCCUUCAAGGAGCCUACUUCUCCCUCUGUCUAUGUCUCUGCCUCUCUCUCUCUCUCUCUCUCUCUCUGUCUCUCAUGAAUAAAUAAAUAAAUCUUAAAAAACAAAAAUAAAAUAAAACUUUUAUUUAUUUAUCUAUCUACUUUCUUGUGUGUGUGUUUGGGAAUUGGAGGGAAUUCUUUGAACCCACCAGCUAGGGACUCUUAGAUAUCCUAAUAAAUGUCUAUAUAGGCUUUCCUUAAAUAAUUUUGAAGACCAG